CAGCAGCCGCGGGAAUACGAAGGGGGCUAGCGUUGCUCGGAAUCACUGGGCGUAAAGGGUGCGUAGGCGGGUCUUUAAGUCAGGGGUGAAAUCCUGGAGCUCAACUCCAGAACUGCCUUUGAUACUGAAGAUCUUGAGUUCGGGAGAGGUGAAUGGAACUGCGAGUGUAGAGGUGAAAUUCGUAGAUAUUCGCAAGAACACCAGUGGCGAAGGCGGCUCACUGGCCCGAUACUGACGCUGAGGCACGAAAGCGUGGGGAGCAAACAGGAUUAGAUACCCGUGUAGUCCCUGUCUCUUAUAC
Molecule: ribosomal RNA, 301 nt
Filed under: uncultured bacterium
Lineage: Bacteria
Description: partial 16S ribosomal RNA
Rfam family: Bacterial small subunit ribosomal RNA
Source: RNAcentral